This 254-nucleotide ribosomal RNA is filed under the name uncultured bacterium. RNAcentral's name for it is "partial 16S ribosomal RNA". It matches the Rfam family "Bacterial small subunit ribosomal RNA", at positions 524 to 776 of the family's 1533-position model. The record is from RNAcentral.
GACAGAGGGUGCAAACGUUGUUCGGAAUUACUGGGCGUAAAGCGCGUGUAGGCUGCUAGCGCAAGUCGGGUGUGAAAGCCCUGGGCUCAACCUAGGAAGUGCACUCGAAACUGCGCAGCUUGAAGUCUGGAGAGGAAGGCGGAAUUCUCGGUGUAGAGGUGAAAUUCGUAGAUAUCGAGAGGAACACCGGUGGCGAAGGCGGCCUUCUGGACAGCACUUGACGCUGAGACGCGAAAGCGUGGGGAGCAAACAGG